GUGCUCAGUCUAGACACAUUGAAGAAGUGUUUGCUGUUUGUGCCAUAUAUGAAGAAAAUAUUCAGUACCUUCGAUCACAACUGCAAUUUCUGACUUAAAAUGAAAUACAGAAGAAAUGAAAAGGAUAUAUCUAAAAUAGUCAAAUGCCUGCAUCAGUCAGAACUGCCAGUCUCACUGUCUAAUCAAUUGAAUAUUCUUUUAGAAACUGAAAGCUGGAUAUCAUUUUGGUAAGGAGGAGCUUAUGAAGACAGCAAGCUGGGUUAUCUUCCUGUGGUUAGGCGGAUGCUCAUUUCAACAAAACUGGCAAGACCUAACCACAGUGCUACAUCAAUACUGCCAUCUGGGACAACUUUUAAGCUAUUGUACUUAAACCUUGGAAAGAAACAAUUAUCCUGGUCCCAAAAGCUUGAAAUGGCAUUCGACGGUGUUCAAAUACACAAUCUCAUUUGAGCCUUACAAACGUCCCUCAGGUAUGUAUGUAAGGCGGACAUGGUUAUUUCCAUUUUCCAGAUAGAAUACUGAGGCCCCAAGACAUGAAGCAACUUACUAAGAUUAUCUUGUGA
Molecule: long non-coding RNA, 563 nt
Filed under: Canis lupus familiaris (dog)
Lineage: Eukaryota; Metazoa; Chordata; Mammalia; Carnivora; Canidae
Description: lncRNA (ENSCAFG00000058576.1)
Source: RNAcentral